This 1339-nucleotide ribosomal RNA is filed under the name uncultured bacterium. RNAcentral's name for it is "partial 16S ribosomal RNA". It matches the Rfam family "Bacterial small subunit ribosomal RNA", at positions 39 to 1380 of the family's 1533-position model. The record is from RNAcentral.
GCGGCGUGCUUAACACAUGCAAGUCGAACGGAGAGCCUAUGACGGAGUUUUCGGACAACUGAUUAGGUUUCUUAGUGGCGGACGGGUGAGUAACGCGUGAGGAACCUGCCUUGGAGUGGGGAAUAACACAGAGAAAUUUGUGCUAAUACCGCAUAAUGCAGUUGGGUCGCAUGGCCCUGACUGCCAAAGAUUUAUCGCUCUAAGAUGGCCUCGCGUCUGAUUAGCUAGUUGGUGGGGUAACGGCCCACCAAGGCGACGAUCAGUAGCCGGACUGAGAGGUUGACCGGCCACAUUGGGACUGAGACACGGCCCAGACUCCUACGGGAGGCAGCAGUGGGGAAUAUUGGGCAAUGGGCGCAAGCCUGACCCAGCAACGCCGCGUGAAGGAAGAAGGCUUUCGGGUUGUAAACUUCUUUUAUAAGGGACGAAACAAAUGACGGUACCUUAUGAAUAAGCCACGGCUAACUACGUGCCAGCAGCCGCGGUAAUACGUAGGUGGCAAGCGUUAUCCGGAUUUACUGGGUGUAAAGGGCGUGUAGGCGGGAAAGCAAGUCAGAUGUGAAAACUAUGGGCUCAACCCAUAGCCUGCAUUUGAAACUGUUUUUCUUGAGUGUUGGAGAGGCAGGCGGAAUUCCGUGUGUAGCGGUGAAAUGCAUAGAUAUCACACAGAACACCGAUUGCGAAGGCAUCUCACGAAUCCGCGAUUGACGCUGAUGCACGAAAGCGUGGGGAUCAAACAGGAUUAGAUACCCUGGUAGUCCACGCUGUAAACGAUGAUGACUAACCGUCGGCGAUACACAGUCGGUGGCCAAGCGAAAGCGAUAAGUCAUCCACCUGGGGAGUACGACCGCAAGGUUGAAACUCAAAGGAAUUGACGGGGGCCCGCACAAGCGGAGGAACAUGUGGUUUAAUUCGAUGAUACGCGAGGAACCUUACCCGGGCUCGAACGGCAGGGGAAUGGAUCAGAGAUGGUCCAGUCUUCGGACUCCUGUCGAGGUGCUGCAUGGUUGUCGUCAGCUCGUGCUGUGAAGUGUCGGCUUAAGUGCCAUAACGAGCGCAACCCUUGCCAUUAGUUGCCAUCAGGUCAAGCUGGGGACUCUAGUGGGACUGCCACCGCAAGGUGUGAGGAAGGGGGGGAUGACGUCAAAUCAGCACGGCCCUUACGUCCGGGGCGACACACGUGUUACAAUGGUGGGUACAGAGGGAAGCUACCUGGCGACAGGAUGCAGAUCUCGAAAACCCAUCCCAGUUCGGAUUGGAGUCUGCAACCCGACUCCAUGAAGUUGGAUUCGCUAGUAAUCGCGCAUGAGCCAUGGCGCGGUGAAUACGUUCCCGGGCC